ACACUUUUGUCCCAUUUCAACAGACCACCCCAGCCAAUCGCGCCAACAACUUGCCGCACGCCGUCGACUUCACAGUGUUGCCAAGUACCAAAUGCAGGGAUCGAAGACGGAGUGCUGAAAGCGGAGGAGGAAGCUUGAGCUCUGAACAUUGUUGAUGUUGUUUGGGUAGUGGAAAGAUGGGAAAUUGAAAAAUUAUGGGAUCUCCUUAAGUAGAGGGCGCCAUAGAAAGGACAUUAGACUCCUUCAGCUUUUAGAUUUUCAAGGAAUCCAAAAAGUUCUUGAUCAGAGAACAUUUUUUUAAUUUUUACUUUUAAUUUCCGACAAGUAUGUGAAAAUCUCUGUAUAUUUCUUUCUUAUUUCCAUUCCAGAAUUCAACUUUUUGAAUGUUAUUUUACUUUUUUCCUUCUGUCUCU
Juglans microcarpa x Juglans regia is the source of this 413-nucleotide long non-coding RNA. RefSeq lists it as uncharacterized. The record is from RefSeq and is a predicted model, not a curated record. The transcript is spliced from 2 exons. Lineage: Eukaryota; Viridiplantae; Streptophyta; Magnoliopsida; Fagales; Juglandaceae.